RNAcentral lists this ribosomal RNA (253 nucleotides) under uncultured bacterium. Its description in RNAcentral is "partial 16S ribosomal RNA". It matches the Rfam family "Bacterial small subunit ribosomal RNA", at positions 524 to 776 of the family's 1533-position model. The record is from RNAcentral.
UCCGAAGGGGGCUAUCGUUGUUCGGAAUUACUGGGCGUAACGCGCACGUAGGCGGAUUAGUAAGUCAGGGGUGAAAUCCCGGGGCUCAACCUCGGAACUGCCUUUGAUACUGCUGAUCUCGAGUCCGGAAGAGGUGAGUGGAAUUCCUAGUGUAGAGGUGAAAUUCGUAGAUAUUAGGAAGAACACCAGUGGCGAAGGCGGCUCACUGGUCCGGUACUGACGCUGAGGUGCGAAAGCGUGGGGAGCAAACAGG